AGGGAAAUAAAACCCCACACGCUUUUAGUCCGUGUCACUGCAGGGGCAUCUGAGCAACCCGUAACGUGUGCGCUGACACGGUUUCACGUGAGGGACGUUUUAGGAGUAGUUCACAGACUCUAAGGAGGCUGUGCAACCUGGUUUGAAAAGUGAUAUCAUCCAUAAAAAGUAUUUCUCUAAUUGAUUUAUAAAAACACCUAUUUGAAGGAAAUCUGCAACACUGGGAGCCCCGUCCUCUUCAGCCUCACAGGAGAGGCCAUUGGGUCUGGCCAAGGCAAAUAGGUGUGGUGGUUCUGUAACAAGUAUAUUUCUGGAACUAUUACACAGGAAUAAGGGUAGUUCAUCUCAACCAGUUCUCAUCCAUCGGCUGCACCAUUGA
This 379-nucleotide long non-coding RNA is filed under the name Anas platyrhynchos platyrhynchos (common mallard). Its description in RNAcentral is "lncRNA (ENSAPLG00000023563.1)". The record is from RNAcentral. Lineage: Eukaryota; Metazoa; Chordata; Aves; Anseriformes; Anatidae.